GGUGUAUAGCUUAGUGGUAGAGUGCAUGCUUUGUGUGAAUGACGUCCUGGGUUCAAAUCCCAGCUGCUCCC
RNAcentral lists this transfer RNA (71 nucleotides) under Dallia pectoralis (Alaska blackfish). Its description in RNAcentral is "tRNA-Thr". It matches the Rfam family "tRNA". From Rfam's summary of the family: Transfer RNA (tRNA) molecules are approximately 80 nucleotides in length. Their secondary structure includes four short double-helical elements and three loops (D, anti-codon, and T loops). The record is from RNAcentral. Lineage: Eukaryota; Metazoa; Chordata; Actinopteri; Esociformes; Umbridae.